AGGGAAUCUUCCACAAUGGACGCAAGUCUGAUGGAGCAACGCCGCGUGAGUGAAGAAGGUUUUCGGAUCGUAAAGCUCUGUUGUUGGUGAAGAAGGAUAGAGACAGUAACUGGUCUUUAUUUGACGGUAAUCAACCAGAAAGUCACGGCUAACUACGUGCCAGCAGCCGCGGUAAUACGUAGGUGGCAAGCGUUGUCCGGAUUUAUUGGGCGUAAAGCGAGCGCAGGCGGAAUGAUAAGUCUGAUGUGAAAGCCCACGGCUCAACCGUGGAACUGCAUCGGAAACUGUCAUUCUUGAGUGCAGAAGAGGAGAGUGGAACUCCAUGUGUAGCGGUGGAAUGCGUAGAUAUAUGGAAGAACACCAGUGGCGAAGGCGGCUCUCUGGUCUGCAACUGACGCUGAGGCUCGAAAGCAUGGGUAGCGAACAGGAUUAGAUACCCUGGUAGUCCAUGCCGUAAACGAUGAGCGCUAGGUGUUGGGGACUUUCCGGUUCUCAGUGCCGCAGCAAACGCAUUAAGCGCUCCGCCUGGGGAGUACGACCGCAAGGUUGAAAC
This 553-nucleotide ribosomal RNA is filed under the name uncultured bacterium. RNAcentral's name for it is "partial 16S ribosomal RNA". It matches the Rfam family "Bacterial small subunit ribosomal RNA", at positions 356 to 900 of the family's 1533-position model. The record is from RNAcentral.